AUGGACCAUUCCAUCCCUUUUUCACGUUCAUAUGCAUCGGAUUCGGAUGACGAAGGUCCCGAUGAACAAGUUGAUGAGGAGGGGUUCACGGUGAAGGAGGCCGAAGCUUUCGAGAAGGUAUUCGGUCGGGAUCACAAGACACCAUUGUUCAAGGAUGUUAGUCUCGCGGAUGAAGCCGUUGUGGAUGGUGGCAAAUCUAUAUCUCUUGGGGUUAGGCCAAGCUCUCAC
RNAcentral lists this ribosomal RNA (228 nucleotides) under Triticum aestivum (bread wheat). Its description in RNAcentral is "partial small subunit ribosomal RNA". The record is from RNAcentral. Lineage: Eukaryota; Viridiplantae; Streptophyta; Magnoliopsida; Poales; Poaceae.